This is a long non-coding RNA of Gopherus evgoodei (Goodes thornscrub tortoise), 2403 nucleotides long. RefSeq lists it as uncharacterized. The transcript is spliced from 3 exons. The record is from RefSeq and is a predicted model, not a curated record. Lineage: Eukaryota; Metazoa; Chordata; Testudines; Testudinidae.
UCAACCAGCAUUCCUAGCCUUUGCGCCCUACCUGUCUUCUUCUCCUUUAAACACCUCUAUGCUUUCUUCUAGGGCUGCUCCUUGUGCAUUGGAAAAAUUCCCUGAUAAAAUCCAAGCAGCCAUGACCUCAUCUUCCAUCAACUCCCUCUUCUGCUAUGAAGAUUAUAAAACCCACCCUGAUGAUCACGGCUGGGCAGUUGACAGACAAGCACACAACACAAUGGGGCCUGAGUCUGAUUGGAAUUUUGGGGUGCUACCAGAAAGAAUAAUAUGGGCAGCUGGACUGAUGUUUCCCUGCUUGUACAACAAUUUAGAAUACAUACUUCGUAGUCCACUACAAUUUUGGAGAGGCAAUAAUAUUAGUAAUCAAAGAGGAAACAAGAAACUCUGGCACCCUCUGAAAAGUAUUUCCCUAAGGAACUCCAUGUUAUUCCUUUAAGUCUUCAGUUGUCCUUUCUACGAGAACUUCUUCACCAUAAAACACUCUAUGAAUAAACACUUUUAACUUGCUAUGUAAAUCAUCACCUGUCAACACUGAAAACAGAUACUGAAAUCCAUUCAUUGCAAUGUAUUACUGUACAUACAAGGGCUAUGAUGGGAAAGUAUCAAGGAAAAAGGAAGUCCUCAAUGUGCAUAGCAGUUUGUAGAAUGUAACUUCCAGCUGAAGAGAAUUCCAGGGGAGAAGGCCUGCGAAUGAGUGUACUAUCCUCAUGUCCUCUGCUUCAAUGAGCUUACAAGCAGAGUCAAACAAAAUGCUUAAUCUCUAUGCAGUUCAAUAGUUGAGUAUAUAAGAUGAUAAUGGAAUCUGUGACCAUUGGGGGAUUUGUACAUGGUAUCCAAUCUUAUUUCACCUAAAAGUGAACCAGUUGCCAGGGCAGAGGUCAAAGGACAAGUGUAGAAUCUUCUUGUCUGGGGACUCUACUUAGAAGAGAGGAAGUCACAUCCUGCACAGUUGAAACUUCCAAGAGGUCUUCAAGGUUUGUCUCAGGUAGUAUCCACAGAGCACCAAUAACAGUGGUAAGAUUUGCGUCUGAGAAGAAAAGUCCCAAUUUCUUGGCUAAUCAUAAAUGACAGAAGGCAUUUCUGGACAAUUUCUGGGAAUCUAGGAGCUGAGGAUUGUGACUCACUUUAGUAACAGACAAUCACUGAAGUGAAAGUGUAUGCUUAGGACAUGGAUGAAAAUCCACCAGGAACGGUUGUAAAGAAGAAAACAAUUUUUAACUUCUCCUUUUAAAGUGCAGUUGGAGCUGCUAUGAUCAUAUCUUCUAGGGGCAGAGAAAACAACUGGAGAACAAACAGACCUGAUAAGAGGAUACCAUAAGAGAAUGCCUCUUUGUAGGCACAGUGGAAAGUCAAACGUAUGUCUCUGAUAUCCCAGAUGAAUGCCCUAAUUGCUGGGCUAUUGGGUAUUCUGGGACAUAUCCAUUGACCAGCCUUAAAAAUUCCAGACUUGCUUGCCCCCGGCUGUCUUUUAGGAAAUUUUUAGGCCUGCUCAGCAGAUGCCUAUUGGAUCAGUCCCCAGAGACAAGAUAGGCAGGGAAACACCUAGUUUGAGAAUCCUGAUGGGGAUUAGACAUGUCCCACAGCUGCAAGCAGCUCAGAUUAGCUGUAGGACCAUUGUCAGAACUUCAGCAGCUUUGGGCAGCCAUACCAGUGGAAAUCUAGUCAUAUAUGAGGAUUUAGGUGCCUACUGGGUUAGGCAGCAGCAGAGCAGUGGGUAUUUGAAUGUCAGCGGUGCCUAUUUUUUGGACAUGGGCACCUACGAGGGCAGUUAGGUACCUAAGCCCCUUAGUGAAUCUAGCUCAUGGUAUUUAGUGCAGCGUAAUAGACAUACUGCACAGCAGAACCUGAAGGCAGCUCCUCAUGCAAGACAUCUGGUUCUAUUUUGUUAGUUUCUAUAUAAACAUACCUUUCAGCAAUAAGAGAAAAGAAUUCCCUAAUCAUGCAAACAGUGAUAUUGGUCAUCAUUUAUUUUUGUCCUUUGGUGUAAGACCAUAUCCUAUUAGCAUCCAUUUACUAUCUGAUACAUCCUCUCAUGGGAACUAUAUUUUGUACUCAAAAUCUAACCAGUCCUUUCUAUUAUUAACUAAUUGAACUGCAUGUAUAUUUUUAUAACUCAGCGAACUUCUCUGAACCCACUUGUUAGGUCAGGAUGAUAACAUGAGCUGACUGCCUGAUCAUAUCACAUAUACAAAUUUCAUAUACAUCCCAGUUAAUUCCAUAAGACAAUUUAGGUAGCUGGCUAACCUUUUUUUUGCCCCCAUGAUAGUCUAUCCAGUCUCCAUUAUAUGUGCUGUUUGGUUAGAGGGCCAGGAAAAGUCAUCUCUACAGUUUCAGAGUUAGACAGUGUCAUAAACAGAUACUUAAGGGUUAAUGUCUCUUUUACCUGUAAAGGGUUAACAA